UACAGAGGGGGCAAGCGUUGUUCGGAAUUACUGGGCGUAAAGGGCGCGUAGGCGGCCACCUAAGUCAGACGUGAAAUCCCUCGGCUCAACCGGGGAACUGCGUCUGAUACUGGGCGGCUUGAAUUCGGGAGAGGGAUGCGGAAUUCCAGGUGUAGCGGUGAAAUGCGUAGAUAUCUGGAGGAACACCGGUGGCGAAGGCGGUUCUCUGGGCCUGUACUGACACUGAGGCGCGAAAGCGUGGGGAGCAAACAGG
This 253-nucleotide ribosomal RNA is filed under the name uncultured bacterium. Its description in RNAcentral is "partial 16S ribosomal RNA". It matches the Rfam family "Bacterial small subunit ribosomal RNA", at positions 524 to 776 of the family's 1533-position model. The record is from RNAcentral.